UAUCAAUAAGCGGAGGAAAAGAAACUAACAAGGAUUCCCCUAGUAACUGCGAGUGAAGCGGGAAAAGCUCAAAUUUAAAAUCUGGUGGCCUUUGGUCAUCCGAGUUGUAAUUUAGAGAAGCGUCUUCCGCGCUGGACCAUGCACAAGUCUCCUGGAAUGGAGCGUCAUAGAGGGUGAGAAUCCCGUCUUUGGCAUGGAUGUACCAGGGCUUCUGUGAUGCGCUCUCGAAGAGUCGAGUUGUUUGGGAAUGCAGCUCAAAAUGGGUGGUGAACUCCAUCUAAAGCUAAAUAUUGGCGAGAGACCGAUAGCGAACAAGUACCGUGAGGGAAAGAUGAAAAGCACUUUGGAAAGAGAGUGAAACAGUACGUGAAAUUGUUGAAAGGGAAACGCUUGAAGUCAGUCGCGUCGACCGAGACUCAGCCUCGCCUUGGCUUGGUGUACUUCUCGGCCGACGGGUCAGCAUCAAUUUUGCGCCUCGGAUAAUGACAAGGGAAAGGUAGCACCUUUAUAGGUGUGUUAUAGUCUCUUGUCGCAUGCGAGGGUUGGGAUUGAGGAACUCAGCACGCGCCUUUUGGCGUCGGGGCUUCGCCUACGAUACGUGCUUAGGAUGCUGGCAUAAUGGCUUUAAACGACC
This 634-nucleotide ribosomal RNA is filed under the name Russula aff. amethystina r-04058. RNAcentral describes it as "LSU rRNA". It matches the Rfam family "Eukaryotic large subunit ribosomal RNA", at positions 41 to 649 of the family's 3401-position model. The record is from RNAcentral. Lineage: Eukaryota; Fungi; Basidiomycota; Agaricomycetes; Russulales; Russulaceae.